Molecule: ribosomal RNA, 198 nt
Filed under: uncultured bacterium
Lineage: Bacteria
Description: partial 16S ribosomal RNA
Rfam family: Bacterial small subunit ribosomal RNA
Source: RNAcentral
ACGCUCGACACCUACGGGAGGCAGCAGUCGGGAAUAUUGCGCAAUGGAGGAAACUCUGACGCAGUGACGCCGCGUAUAGGAAGAAGGUCUUCGGAUUGUAAACUAUUGUCGUUAGGGAAGAAAAGGACAGUACCUAAGGAGGAAGCUCCGGCUAACUACGUGCUAGCAGCCGCGGUAAUCUGAGCGGGCUGGCAAGGC